This 399-nucleotide ribosomal RNA is filed under the name Nematopalaemon schmitti. RNAcentral describes it as "partial 16S ribosomal RNA". It matches the Rfam family "Bacterial large subunit ribosomal RNA", at positions 1932 to 2540 of the family's 2925-position model. Lineage: Eukaryota; Metazoa; Arthropoda; Malacostraca; Decapoda; Palaemonidae. The record is from RNAcentral.
UGCGGUAAUUUGACCGUGCAAAGGUAGCAUAAUCAGUAGUCUUUUAAUUGAAGGCUGGAAUGAACGGUUGGAUGAAAGAUUAACUGUCUCUAAUAUAAUUUAUAAUUUGACUUUUAAGUGAAAAGGCUUAAAUUAAUUAAAGGGACGAUAAGACCCUAUAAAACUUAACAUAUAUAAAAACUUGUUUUUAAAUUUUAAAUUAAAAUUGUAAAUUUGUACAUAUGUUUCGUUGGGGAGACGUCGAUAUAAAUAGUAACUGUCUGAGUAAAAAUUAUAAUAAUAAUUAGUUUUUGAUCCUUCUUUGAAGAUUAAAAGAAUAAGUUACUUUAGGGAUAACAGCGUAAUUUUCUCUGAGAGUUCUUAUCGAAGAGAGUAGUUGCGACCUCGAUGUUGAAUUAA